RNAcentral lists this ribosomal RNA (476 nucleotides) under uncultured bacterium. Its description in RNAcentral is "partial 16S ribosomal RNA". It matches the Rfam family "Bacterial small subunit ribosomal RNA", at positions 28 to 506 of the family's 1533-position model. The record is from RNAcentral.
GAUUAACGCUGGCGGCGUGCAUAACACAUGCAAGUCGAACGAUGAAACUUUAAUGAACCCUUCGGGGAGAAUUAAAGCGGAUUAGUGGCGAACGGGUGAGUAACGCGUGAGUAACCUGCCUUACACAAGGGGAUAGCCUUUGGAAACGAAGAAUAAUACCCUAUAAAACCAUAAAAGCACAUGCAAUUAUGGUCAAAGUGAUAGCGGUGUAAGAUGGACUUGCGUCUGAUUAGCUAGUUGGUGAGAUAAAAGCCCACCAAGGCAACGAUCAGUAGCCGGCUUGAGAGAGUGUACGGCCACAUUGGGACUGAGACACGGCCCAGACUCCUACGGGAGGCAGCAGUGGGGAAUUUUGCACAAUGGGGGAAACCCUGAUGCAGCGACGCCGCGUGAUUUAGAAGGCCUUCGGGUUGUAAAAAUCUUUUGUAUAGGAAGAAAAGGACAGUACUAUACGAAUAAGGUCCGGCUAAUUACGU